AAUAGAUACCCAGGUAGUCCACGCCGUAAACGAUGAGUGCUAAGUGUUAGGGGGGUUUCCGCCCCUUAGUGCUGCAGCUAACGCAUUAAGCACUCCGCCUGGGGAGUACGGCCGCAAGGCUGAAACUCAAAGGAAUUGACGGGGGGCCCGCACAAGCGGUGGAGCAUGUGGUUUAAUUCGAAGCAACGCGAAGAACCUUACCAGGUCUUGACAUCCUCUGAAAAUCCUAGAGAUAGGACGUUUCCCUUCGGGGAACAGAGUGACAGGUGGUGCAUGGUUGUCGUCAGCUCGUGUCGUGAGAUGUUGGGUUAAGUCCCGCAACGAGCGCAACCCUUGAUCUUAGUUGCCAGCAUUCAGUUGGGCACUCUAAGGUGACUGCCGGUGACAAACCGGAGGAAGGUGGGGAUGACGUCAAAUCAUCAUGCCCCUUAUGACCUGGGCUACACACGUGCUACAAUGGAUGGUACAAAGGGCUGCAAGACCGCGAGGUUUAGCCAAUCCCAUAAAACCAUUCUCAGUUCGGAUUGCAGGCUGA
RNAcentral lists this ribosomal RNA (535 nucleotides) under uncultured bacterium. Its description in RNAcentral is "bacterial SSU rRNA". It matches the Rfam family "Bacterial small subunit ribosomal RNA", at positions 777 to 1308 of the family's 1533-position model. The record is from RNAcentral.